AGGGAGGUGGCCAAUGGUUAAGGCGAUGGGCUGCUAAUCCCUUUGGGGUCUGCCCCGUUUGGGGUUUGAAUCCCCUCCUUGUCG
This is a non-coding RNA of Trichonephila inaurata madagascariensis, 84 nucleotides long. Lineage: Eukaryota; Metazoa; Arthropoda; Arachnida; Araneae; Nephilidae. The record is from the annotation of a GenBank genome assembly.